Molecule: ribosomal RNA, 407 nt
Filed under: uncultured bacterium
Lineage: Bacteria
Description: bacterial SSU rRNA
Rfam family: Bacterial small subunit ribosomal RNA
Source: RNAcentral
AUUAAACGCUGGCGGCAUGCCUUACACAUGCAAGUCGAACGGCAGCACGGGGGCAACCCUGGUGGCGAGUGGCGAACGGGUGAGUAAAGCAUCGGAACGUGCCCUGGAGUGGGGGAUAACGUAGCGAAAGUUACGCUAAUACCGCAUAUUCUGUGAGCAGGAAAGCAGGGGAUCGCAAGACCUUGCGCUCUGGGAGCGGCCGAUGUCGGAUUAGCUAGUUGGUGGGGUAAAGGCCUACCAAGGCGACGAUCCGUAGCGGGUCUGAGAGGAUGAUCCGCCACACUGGGACUGAGACACGGCCCAGACUCCUACGGGAGGCAGCAGUGGGGAAUUUUGGACAAUGGGCGAAAGCCUGAUCCAGCCAUGCCGCGUGAGUGAAGAAGGGCCUUCGGGUUGUUAAAGGACUC